GAUGCAGCCAUGCCGCGUGUGUGAAGAAGGCCUUCGGGUUGUAAAGCACUUUCAGUUGUGAGGAAAAGUUAGUAGUUAAUACCUGCUAGCCGUGACGUUAACAACAGAAGAAGCACCGGCUAACUCCGUGCCAGCAGCCGCGGUAAUACGGAGGGUGCGAGCGUUAAUCGGAAUUACUGGGCGUAAAGCGCACGCAGGCGGUUUGUUAAGCUAGAUGUGAAAGCCCCGGGCUCAACCUGGGAUGGUCAUUUAGAACUGGCAGACUAGAGUCUUGGAGAGGGGAGUGGAAUUCCAGGUGUAGCGGUGAAAUGCGUAGAUAUCUGGAGGAACAUCAGUGGCGAAGGCGACUCCCUGGCCAAAGACUGACGCUCAUGUGCGAAAGUGUGGGUAGCGAACAGGAUUAGAUACCCUGGUAGUCCACACCGUAAACGCUGUCUACUAGCUGUGUGUGCCUUUAAGGCGUGCGUAGCGAAGCUAACGCGCUAAGUAGACCGCCNGGGGAGUACGGCCGCAAGGUUAAAACUCAA
This 527-nucleotide ribosomal RNA is filed under the name Alteromonas sp. RNAcentral describes it as "bacterial SSU rRNA". It matches the Rfam family "Bacterial small subunit ribosomal RNA", at positions 385 to 904 of the family's 1533-position model. The record is from RNAcentral. Lineage: Bacteria; Pseudomonadati; Pseudomonadota; Gammaproteobacteria; Alteromonadales; Alteromonadaceae.